CCUACGGGGAGCAGCAGUGAGGAAUAUUGGUCAAUGGACGAGAGUCUGAACCAGCCAAGUAGCGUGAAGGAUGACUGCCCUAUGGGUUGUAAACUUCUUUUAUAUGGGAAUAAAAUGUUCCACGUGUGGGAUUUUGUAUGUACCAUAUGAAUAAGGAUCGGCUAACUCCGUGCCAGCAGCCGCGGUAAUACGGAGGAGCCGAGCGUUAUCCGGAUUUAUUGGGUUUAAAGGGAGCGUAGGUGGAUUGUUAAGUCAGUUGUGAAAGUUUGCGGCUCAACCGUAAAAUUGCAGUUGAAACUGGCAGUCUUGAGUACAGUAGAGGUGGGCGGAAUUCGUGGUGUAGCGGUGAAAUGCUUAGAUAUCACGAAGAACUCCGAUUGCGAAGGCAGUUCACUGGACUGCAACUGACACUGAGGCUCGAAAGUGUGGGUAUCAAACAGGAUUAGAUACCCCAGUAGUC
This 460-nucleotide ribosomal RNA is filed under the name uncultured bacterium. RNAcentral describes it as "partial 16S ribosomal RNA". It matches the Rfam family "Bacterial small subunit ribosomal RNA", at positions 338 to 795 of the family's 1533-position model. The record is from RNAcentral.